GACGAACGCUGGCGGCGUGCUUAACACAUGCAAGUCGAACGGAAAGGCCCUGCUUUUGUGGGGUGCUCGAGUGGCGAACGGGUGAGUAACACGUGAGUAACCUGCCCUUGACUUUGGGAUAACUUCAGGAAACUGGGGCUAAUACCGGAUAGGAGCUCCUGCUGCAUGGUGGGGGUUGGAAAGUUUCGGCGGUUGGGGAUGGACUCGCGGCUUAUCAGCUUGUUGGUGGGGUAGUGGCUUACCAAGGCUUUGACGGGUAGCCGGCCUGAGAGGGUGACCGGCCACAUUGGGACUGAGAUACGGCCCAGACUCCUACGGGAGGCAGCAGCGGGGAAUAUUGCACAAUGGGCGGAAGCCUGAUGCAGCAACGCCGCGUGCGGGAUGACGGCCCUCGGGUUGUAAACCGCUUUCGCCUGUGACGAAGCGUGAGUGACGGUAAUGGGUAAAGAAGCACCGGCUAACUACGUG
RNAcentral lists this ribosomal RNA (468 nucleotides) under uncultured bacterium. RNAcentral describes it as "partial 16S ribosomal RNA". It matches the Rfam family "Bacterial small subunit ribosomal RNA", at positions 28 to 507 of the family's 1533-position model. The record is from RNAcentral.